CAUCGUGAGGUGGAAUCUGAAGGAAGCCGGAUGUGGGAACAGACUAACCACGGGCAAAUCUCUGGUCUGACGAACAGAAAUCUCAUAUAAGGUCAUGCAUGAGGGUAAGGCAGCGAGUCAAGUCGAAGCCCAAUAACUACACGGAAUUAUACAGUGUGAAUAUGCUGGAUAAUAU
This 175-nucleotide non-coding RNA is filed under the name uncultured Blautia sp. Lineage: Bacteria; Bacillati; Bacillota; Clostridia; Lachnospirales; Lachnospiraceae. The record is from RNAcentral.